This 72-nucleotide transfer RNA is filed under the name Camelus bactrianus (Bactrian camel). It matches the Rfam family "tRNA". From Rfam's summary of the family: Transfer RNA (tRNA) molecules are approximately 80 nucleotides in length. RNAcentral also lists the same sequence under 2 other names. The record is from Rfam by way of RNAcentral. Lineage: Eukaryota; Metazoa; Chordata; Mammalia; Artiodactyla; Camelidae.
GAAGGUACAGCGCAGUGGUAGAGCGCGUGCUCAGCAAGCAUGAGGUCCUGGGUUCAGUCCCCAGCACCUCCA